GACAUGAGGUGCAAACGUUAUCCGGAUUUAUUGGGCGUAAAGGAUGCGUAGAUGGUGGAAUAAGUUAUUGGUCAAAGUCAAGCUCAACUUGGCGGAAGCUGGUAAUACUAUUCUACUUGAGGAUAGGAGAGGUUGGCGGAAUUCUGUGUGGAGCGGUGAAAUGCGUUGAUCUACAGAGGAACACCAAAAAAAGGCGAAGGCAGCCAACUAUUCUA
This 215-nucleotide ribosomal RNA is filed under the name uncultured bacterium. RNAcentral describes it as "partial 16S ribosomal RNA". It matches the Rfam family "Bacterial small subunit ribosomal RNA", at positions 524 to 736 of the family's 1533-position model. The record is from RNAcentral.